UGCUUAGUCUGGCUUUUAUGGAAGCUUUAACGAUUUACGGACUGGUCGUGGCAUUAGCGCUUUUAUUUGCGA
This 72-nucleotide transfer RNA is filed under the name Laurus azorica. RNAcentral's name for it is "tRNA-Asn". The record is from RNAcentral. Lineage: Eukaryota; Viridiplantae; Streptophyta; Magnoliopsida; Laurales; Lauraceae.